UGCUGGGAAAGAUUGAAGGCAGGAGGAGAAGGGGACAGCAGAGGACGAGAUGGUUGGAUGGCAUCACUGACUCAGUGGACAGGAGUUUGAGCAAACUCUGGGAGAUGGAGGCCUGGCGUGCUGCGAUUCAUGGGGUCGCAAAGAGUCGGACACGACUGAGUGACUGAAUUGAACU
Cervus elaphus (red deer) is the source of this 175-nucleotide long non-coding RNA. RefSeq lists it as uncharacterized. The record is from RefSeq and is a predicted model, not a curated record. NCBI's taxonomy places the organism in Eukaryota, Metazoa, Chordata, Mammalia, Artiodactyla, Cervidae. The transcript has 3 exons.